RNAcentral lists this ribosomal RNA (253 nucleotides) under uncultured bacterium. RNAcentral's name for it is "partial 16S ribosomal RNA". It matches the Rfam family "Bacterial small subunit ribosomal RNA", at positions 524 to 776 of the family's 1533-position model. The record is from RNAcentral.
UACGGAGGGGGCUAGCGUUGUUCGGAAUUACUGGGCGUAAAGCGCACGUAGGCGGCUUUGUAAGUUAGAGGUGAAAGCCUGGUGCUCAACAUCAGAACUGCCUUUAAAACUGCAUCGCUUGAAUCCAGGAGAGGUGAGUGGAAUUCCGAGUGUAGAGGUGAAAUUCGUAGAUAUUCGGAAGAACACCAGUGGCGAAGGCGGCUCACUGGACUGGUAUUGACGCUGAGGUGCGAAAGCGUGGGGAGCAAACAGG